This 440-nucleotide ribosomal RNA is filed under the name uncultured bacterium. RNAcentral's name for it is "partial 16S ribosomal RNA". It matches the Rfam family "Bacterial small subunit ribosomal RNA", at positions 338 to 795 of the family's 1533-position model. The record is from RNAcentral.
CCUACGGGAGGCAGCAGUGGGGAAUAUUGCACAAUGGGGGAAACCCUGAUGCAGCGACGCCGCGUGAGUGAGGAAGUAUUUCGGUAUGUAAAGCUCUAUCAGCAGGGAAGAAAAUGACGGUACCUGACUAAGAAGCCCCGGCUAACGACGUGCCAGCAGCCGCGGUAAUACGUAGUGGGCAAGCGUUCUCCGGAUUUACUGGGUGGAACGGGAGUGUAGACGGCUAAGCAAGUCAGAAGUGAAAACCCAGGGCUCAACCUUGGGACUGCUUUUGAAACGGAGUAGCUAGAGUGCAGGAGAGGUAAGCGGGAUUCCUAGUGUAGCGGUGAAAUGCGUCGAUAUUAGGAGGAACCCCCGUGGCGUCGGCGGCUUACUGGACUGUACCUGCCGUUGAGGCUCGUACGCGUGGGGAGCAACCAGGAUUAGAUACCCUUGUAGUC